This 437-nucleotide long non-coding RNA is filed under the name Androctonus crassicauda. The record is from RNAcentral. Lineage: Eukaryota; Metazoa; Arthropoda; Arachnida; Scorpiones; Buthidae.
ACACUUCAUCAAAAUUGGAUGAAUGAUUCACCCAAAAAUGAAACAAAAAUAUUUUUACAAAUCAUAUCACAUAGGGCAUGUGAUAUGAUUUGUAAAAUUCAAAAAUUUGUAAAAAAUUCAUUCUAAAUCUAAUUCUGGAAAUUUCUGGAGGUUUUGACAACAGUGUCAUCUUCCUGUUCAAUAGGCAUAAAAAGCUACAUUCACACAUGCACAAUUCAGUAUACAUAUACAAUACAAUAGCUGAGCACACACUUAAUGAAAUGAAUGCCAUGGUCAUAUGCUAUAGUGCUGUUAAUGCAAAUGUUGCUGCUGCAGCUCAACUUUAUCAUAAAAGACAUCCCUCAGCACAAACACUUAAAUCUAUGAUACAUCAAUUCCUUGAAAUGCCCAAGAUAAGGUCAUCCACAAACAGCAACUGAUGAGGUCAUAACAACUUU